Molecule: ribosomal RNA, 816 nt
Filed under: Globigerinoides ruber
Lineage: Eukaryota; Foraminifera; Rotaliida; Globigerinidae
Description: bacterial SSU rRNA
Rfam family: Eukaryotic small subunit ribosomal RNA
Source: RNAcentral
GGUCCGGACAUACCGAGGAUUGACAGACUGUUAACUGCAACACAAGCUGCUAAGUUUUAAACUUAAUAGCUCUUUCAUGAUUAUAUGAUAGGUGGUGCAUGGCCGUUCUUAGUUCGUGGAGUGAUCUGUCUGCUUAAUUGCGUUUCAAAAUUUAAACCUGAGCGACAAGGUGCUGCUAUCGAAACUGUCUUUGAGUGUGAACUAUAAGUCUUUUGACUUAUGACCAUCACUCUAGACGUUUAUGUUUUGGUGUUGGCCCUUGAUGCUCAUUUGAACGCAACGGACGUGAUUGCAACCCCUUGUUGAGAUUUAUCCGAUCUCUACGUUCACUGAACCACACUCUUUAGCGAGAGCAGUGGGGAUGUGGAUAAACUCGGGGGACUGCUGACUAUAAACUUUUCUCAAACCAGAGGAAGGUUGCGGCAAUAACAGGUCUGUGAUGCCCUCAGAUGUUCCGGGCUGCACACGUGCUACAUUUAGUAGCGCAGUGUGCACAUUAAUAGAGUGAUAGGUUCCGUGGUUUGUACAUUUUAAGGGCUCGUCCUAGUAACCAAAGCUCCACGGGACAUAUCAACCUUCCCCUUACAGGGCGGGUAACCUCUUCGAAGUGCUGGCAUGAUUUCCCUAGUUUUGGCAUUUGAAUCCUUGUCGCAGCAGCCCUGAGACGUAGUGAACGCUGCAAAGUGAUUCCAGUCUUAGGUUUGCGACACAUGCAAUUCCUGGUUGACUCAUCGUGGGGACUGAUUCUUGUAAUUAUUUUUCACGGUUCAACCAGGAAUGCCUUGUACCGGCGGCUCAUUAAACCGCUGGGAAUAC